AGGUGGAGAUAGUGAUGGCAUUGGAGGAAAAAUUCAACAUAAGCGUGGAGGAAGCUGAUGCUCAGAACAUUACGACGAUUCAAGAGGCGGCUGAUUUGAUUGAGGAUCUUGUUCAGAAGAAACCUGCGGCCUAAGCUUCUUAAACUCUCCCGGCUUUCUUUUCCUUUAGACCUUUCUUGGUUUGAGAACAUUUAAUUAGACCGUAUGUCAUUUUGUUUUUCUUCUUCUUAGCGGUAUCUGCAGAUCCGCUGAUCCCAUUGUGGAGGUUAACAUGCAAUGUGUUGACCUGGAAAUCAUUAUUUGGAAGCUACAUUUCGAGGCAUUUCCUCAACAUAUAAAUAGACCAUAGACAGAGUUUGAUAUUUAUAAUACUUAGUGAUCAUGGAGUCUGCAGAAAACAGUCCUUUUGCAUAUUCUAUAUGGAACCAAGAGAUAUGUCCUUUGUUUGAUGAUUGUAUUAUGAUAGCUACUAACAUAGGAGAUGACUAGAGAAAGAGAAAUGAGUAUGAAACUCUUAUAUGGGUAGCUUUUGUAAACACAUUUGGGUUUAUUAACAGUUGUGACAAGCAAUUAUGUUUAUAGUAAAGGAAACCCGCCGCAGCGUCAAUAACAAAUGCGCCUGUUUUUUGGUUGUUUGGGAUUGAAAUAGCUUAUGGGUUUUCUAAAUCAAUAUAAUUGAUUUGACUAAAGCUAUCUUGGAUGACAAAAAGAAGGAUUGCAAGUUUAAUAACUUCUACUUUAGACUUUAAUUUCAACUAAAUUAUAAUCAGUCUUUUAUCCAUAUCAUCUUAGUUAUAAACGUAAGGAUUUAUUAGAAUAAAUAAACAGUUUCAACAAUAUUUAAUAUGUGAUUUAAUAAACAAAAGAACACGUAGGAUUUUUAGGAUUUAAAGAGAUUGGAGACAAUAGUUAAUGAAUAUGAAAAGAAUACGAAGCAGAUGAUGAAAAAUGAUUCAAGCAAAUUAGUGGCAACACAGAGCUAAGCGAGAUAAAAAUAUCAAUUAAUAAAGAGUGAAAGAAGAAUGAGCAGGGUUAAGUUAUUACACAAGCCAAAACUAAGACAAAUCAAACGACAGAACGUGAAAACAAAUGUAAACAAGGCAAGAGGGUAAAGAUAAAAUGCAUUGAAAAACUGAAUGCUAGAUUAGUAAGCAAAAGGCAAAAAGAGAUUAAAAUGCAAAAACUCUGCACCUUGGCGCGGGUAACGAUCCCUAGUAUCAACAAAUAGGUAACACAAAUAUAAAUUAUGUCCUUAUUUGGAUGGCCCAAGGAUUUUAUUUUUAGCUUCUAAAAAGAAUUUGUGAUCUUAGUUUUUUUCUUCACCAAAUCUGAUCUUAAUUGUUGUUAAUUAUUCCAUAACACCAACUACUAUUGAAAAACAAGUCUGUAAACAAAGAUGUGUUACCAAAUUUAAUGUAUUCAAAUAGAAAGUGCCCAUCUGUUUAGGCAGAGAUUCGAUCAUCCGACCUCCUCAAAUAUCUUGUUUCGCAAUCUCACCCACAUGCUAUUUUCCUUUAAAUUAUCUGCCUCUGUCCAUCUCUUCUUUUCCAACCCACUUACUCUUCUCCUUCUCUUGUCUUCGUUGAAUUUUGGGAUCUUACACCACAGCAAAUAACAACACCGCCAACUAUAUAUUUGUCCUAUUUGUCCUUUUGGUUUUGAUCUUUGUAACAAUCAAUAAGGAAAGUUAAAGCUUGAAUCUGAAUAAUAAUAAUGGGAGACAAUGGAGGGAAAAGAACGCCGUCAAUGAAUCUUGCGGUUCAAGUGUCGAUGAGAGUGUUAGCCAUUGGCACCGCAUUGGCCUCCAUGGGGCUCAUGAUUACUAACCAUGAAGUUGCCUCUGUUUAUGGCAUUGCUUUUGAGGCUAAAUACAGCGACUCAUCAGCCUUUAGGUAUUCUCUAUUGCUCAUUUCAUCAAGGUGCUCUAACUAGUGAGAUAAUGAUGACGAAAUUACGCAACAUCAUCUCGAUGAAAUUUCACUAUUUCACAUUUAAAAGUACAUAUGGAGAAAUAAUUCAGAAAUUUUGGUAGGAAAAAAAUUGCAAAAAGGGAGAAAUAUUUUUUUGUAACUUAAAAAAGGGGGAAAUAUCCUCUAUUAUGACGUAGAAAUAUAUGCAAAAUAAAUUCAUUCUUGAAUUUUUUUUAUGUCUCAUUCAUAUGACGUUUAUCUUUUAUACCAGUGAUUUGUCUCGUGUUUAAUAGUAGCCAAAACGGACAAUCCUAAACCGUGUAGCCAAAAUCAUCACUAUGAGCAAAUACAAAACUGAUUGUUAAUUACAAUAAAUAUCGAGUAAAACAAUUAAAAGAUGGAGUGAUGACGACAUGCAUGCAAUGAAAGUUCGUAAACUUUGAUAUGUUUCGCAGGUAUUUGGUGUACGCGGAUAUAGCUAUCUCCGCCUUGACAUUGUUCACGCUCGUAUGGGCUUGUUUAGCUGUCCGUAAACGUGGACUUGUUUUUGUACUCUUCUUUUUUGAUUUGGUAAUUACCAUCCAAUUUUUCAAUCUGAAUAUUUGAUACGGAAAUUAGACAUCUGAACGUACGUUUUGAAAUGGGUCUGGAAAUAUUGUAUAGCUUGCGACGUUGACGGCGAUGUCGGCUUUCUCUGCGGCCACAUCGGAGGGAUACAUUGGAAAGUACGGUAACACACACGCCGGUUGGCUUCCGAUCUGCGGUUAUGUACAUGGUUACUGCAAUCGUGGGACUCUCUCACUCGCUUUUUCCUUUGCCUCUUUUCUCCUCUUGUUCAUCCUUACUGUCCUAACUGCCUCCGCUGCUCGUCAUCACUGAAACUAUUUUCUUUACAUUUUAUAUUAUUCAAUUUCUAAUAUUCUUAAGAUUCUUCAAUCUUUCUUAUAUACUUAGAUUUUCUAAGAUGAAUGAUUACAGAAAGAAAUUGUAUUGAGUUGAGUCCGUGUAUUAUAUAACUAUUUGUUUUUAUUUUAUUUUACUUUACUAUGAUACUCCACUCCCCAUAUAAGUUUUUUUACAUAAAUUUUGAGAAUUCAAAAGAUAUAUUAACCAGGCGCUCGUGGCUUAGUGGUAAAAAUCUCACGGUUGUGAGUUCCGGCACCUAGGUUCGAGUCUUGGCCACGGUCAAUUAAAAUGGAGUGAAUUAUUUUUCCUAGCUCUCCAGCUCAGCUCCGAUGGACGGUCGAUAAUCAGGUUUAUUUGUAAUCAGGUUUAUUUUGAGGACAUCCGGAUACCGGAAUAAGAAGAAAAAAAGAAAGAUAUAUUCCCGAAAAACAUUAUCAUCUAUGGAUCGAUCUCUCCUUUGAAAAUCUAAACAUGGUGCGGACAAGAACCAAUAAGGGCCCGUUGAAGUAACUUGCAUUUUGGUUUGGGCCUGUCUUAGUUGCAAAACGUGACAAAACUCACUUGACAAAUGUGGGACCCAUAGCAACAUGUGCCGAAGAUAGGCAUGAAUCCGCAAGAACAAACCUAGGCCACAAAACAAGAGAAUUGUGCUUUUGCGUCUCUUAAGACGACGCCGUAUCCACGUCCACCACUGCAUCAAAAACAAUUCUCUUCUUAAGAGAUUACACCUUAUCCAACUUGAGUUUGCAAUAGGAGAAGCCAUUGUUUUCCGUAUCUUAGACCUGUAUACUGAGCUUCAUCUCUUUCAAUGGCUUCCUUGUCAGCCACUUCUCUAAGCUUCAAAGCUCCCUCCACACGAUCAACCAGAAUCUCUCAGGUGACUUUACAUAUACACAUCUACCGUUUGUCAUUUCACUUAAUAAUAGAUACUUGACCCCAUCUUCAGUUUUGUUUGUAAUAAUAUUCAAAAUCAUAAUAUAACGCAAUUAGCUUAAUCAUCAGGUGUUAAGGAAAGCCUCGACUUUUCAGUCUAUCUCCUUUGGUCGUUUCCAGUCUUCGAAGAGCCUUCGUCUUCAAAUCAGUUGUGCAGUAAGCAAGACAAUUGUUUGAAGCUAAAGUUGAAUAUUUAUGAUAAAAUGUAAUAAGUUGAUUUGUAACAUGUGAGCAUGGUUACAUUCAGGCAAAACCAGAGACAGUACAGAAAGUUAGUGACAUUGUGAAGGAACAGUUAGCUUUAUCCGCUGACACUGCGCUCACUUCUGAGUCCAAAUUCUCUGCUCUUGGCGCAGAUUCUCUUGACACGGUAUGUUAUAAUACUCUCUCUCUCUGUUUCGUAUUUAAAUGUGAUGUUACAAAUAUGUUAGUCAUUAGUAACGUUGGGUGAAUAUGGAUGCAGGUGGAGAUAGUGAUGGCAUUGGAGGAAAAAUUCAACAUAAGCGUGGAGGAAGCUGAUGCUCAGAACAUUACGACGAUUCAAGAGGCGGCUGAUUUGAUUGAGGAUCUUGUUCAGAAGAAACCUGCGGCCUAAGCUUCUUAAACUCUCCCGGCUUUCUUUUCCUUUAGACCUUUCUUGGUUUGAGAACAUUUAAUUAGACCGUAUGUCAUUUUGUUUUUCUUCUUCUGGAAGUUGAGAUUGGAUAUUGACUAUGAGAAAACUUUGAUUGGUACGUUGAGAUUGAUUCAUUGGCAAUGAUUGGUCUUUUAUGAC
Molecule: long non-coding RNA, 4524 nt
Filed under: Brassica napus (rape)
Lineage: Eukaryota; Viridiplantae; Streptophyta; Magnoliopsida; Brassicales; Brassicaceae
Description: long non-coding RNA (BNAP_LNC009541)
Source: RNAcentral